GCAUUGAAAACAGGUCGUUUUCUACUGACUUUUAAUCAGUAGGUCGCUGGUUCGAACCCAGCUGGACUCACCA
RNAcentral lists this transfer RNA (73 nucleotides) under Sphingobium sp. RAC03. RNAcentral describes it as "tRNA-OTHER". It matches the Rfam family "tRNA". From Rfam's summary of the family: Transfer RNA (tRNA) molecules are approximately 80 nucleotides in length. Their secondary structure includes four short double-helical elements and three loops (D, anti-codon, and T loops). Further hydrogen bonds mediate the characteristic L-shaped molecular structure. tRNAs have two regions of fundamental functional importance: the anti-codon, which is responsible for specific mRNA codon recognition, and the 3' end, to which the tRNAs corresponding amino acid is attached (by aminoacyl-tRNA synthetases). tRNAs cope with the degeneracy of the genetic code in two manners: having more than one tRNA (with a specific anti-codon) for a particular amino acid; and 'wobble' base-pairing, i.e. permitting non-standard base-pairing at the 3rd anti-codon position. Lineage: Bacteria; Pseudomonadati; Pseudomonadota; Alphaproteobacteria; Sphingomonadales; Sphingobiaceae. The record is from RNAcentral.